RNAcentral lists this ribosomal RNA (444 nucleotides) under uncultured bacterium. Its description in RNAcentral is "partial 16S ribosomal RNA". It matches the Rfam family "Bacterial small subunit ribosomal RNA", at positions 354 to 796 of the family's 1533-position model. The record is from RNAcentral.
GUAGGGAAUAUUGGGCAAUGGUCGGAAGACUGACCCAGCCAUGCCGCGUGCAGGAAGACGGCCCUCUGGGUUGUAUACUGCUUUUAUCUGGGAAGAAAAAGGCCAUUCGUGGCAAAUUGCCGGUACCAGAUGAAUAAGCACCGGCUAACUCCGUGCCAGCAGCCGCGGUAAUACGGAGGGUGCGAGCGUUGUCCGGAUUUAUUGGGUUUAAAGGGUGCGUAGGCGGCUGAUUAAGUCAGCGAUGAAAGGCUUCGGCUUAACCGGAGCAGUGCCGUUGAUACUGGUUGGCUUGAGUGUCGGAGGGGUACAUGGAAUUGAUGGUGUAGCGGUGAAAUGCAUAGAUACCAUCAGGAACACCGAUAGCGAAGGCAUUGUACUGGCCGACAACUGACGCUGAUGCACGAAAGUGUGGGGAUCGAACAGGAUUAGAUACCCUAGUAGUCC